CGUUCUGUAAGCCUGUGAAGGUGUGUCGUGAGGCAUGCUGGAGGUAUCAGAAGUGCGAAUGCUGACAUAAGUAACGAUAAAGCGGGUGAAAAGCCCGCUCGCCGGAAGACCAAGGGUUCCUGUCCAACGUUAAUCGGGGCAGGGUGAGUCGACCCCUAAGGCGAGGCCGAAAGGCGUAGUCGAUGGGAAACGGGUUAAUAUUCCCGUACUUGGUGUUACUGCGAAGGGGGGACGGAGAAGGCUAUGUUGGCCGGGCGACGGUUGUCCCGGUUUAAGCGUGUAGGUGUGUGUUCCAGGUAAAUCCGGUUCACUUUAACACUGAGGCGUGACGACGAGGCACU
Molecule: ribosomal RNA, 341 nt
Filed under: Salmonella enterica subsp. enterica serovar 4,[5],12:i:-
Lineage: Bacteria; Pseudomonadati; Pseudomonadota; Gammaproteobacteria; Enterobacterales; Enterobacteriaceae
Description: partial 23S ribosomal RNA
Rfam family: Bacterial large subunit ribosomal RNA
Source: RNAcentral